This 467-nucleotide ribosomal RNA is filed under the name uncultured bacterium. RNAcentral's name for it is "partial 16S ribosomal RNA". It matches the Rfam family "Bacterial small subunit ribosomal RNA", at positions 28 to 506 of the family's 1533-position model. The record is from RNAcentral.
GACGAACGCUUUCUUCUUUCUUAACACAUGCAAGUCGAACGGAAAGGCCCUGCUUUUGUGGGGUGCUCGAGUGGCGAACGGGUGAGUAACACGUGAGUAACCUGCCCUUGACUUUGGGAUAACUUCAGGAAACUGGGGCUAAUACCGGAUAGGAGCUCCUGCUGCAUGGUGGGGGUUGGAAAGUUUCGGCGGUUGGGGAUGGACUCGCGGCUUAUCAGCUUGUUGGUGGGGUAGUGGCUUACCAAGGCUUUGACGGGUAGCCGGCCUGAGAGGGUGACCGGCCACAUUGGGACUGAGAUACGGCCCAGACUCCUACGGGAGGCAGCAGUGGGGAAUAUUGCACAAUGGGCGGAAGCCUGAUGCAGCAACGCCGCGUGCGGGAUGACGGCCUUCGGGUUGUAAACCGCUUUCGCCUGUGACGAAGCGUGAGUGACGGUAAUGGGUAAAGAAGCACCGGCUAACUACGG